UACGUAGGGGGCAAGCGUUGUCCGGAAUCAUUGGGCGUAAAGCGCGUGUAGGCGGUCCGGUAAGUCGGCUGUGAAAGUCCAGGGCUCAACCCUGGGAUGCCGGUCGAUACUGCCGGACUAGAGUUCGGAAGAGGAGAGUGGAAUUCCCGGUGUAGCGGUGAAAUGCGCAGAUAUCGGGAGGAACACCAAUGGCGAAGGCAGCUCGCUGGGACGUUACUGACGCUGAGACGCGAAAGCGUGGGGAGCAAACAGG
This 253-nucleotide ribosomal RNA is filed under the name uncultured bacterium. Its description in RNAcentral is "partial 16S ribosomal RNA". It matches the Rfam family "Bacterial small subunit ribosomal RNA", at positions 524 to 776 of the family's 1533-position model. The record is from RNAcentral.